GCAUAAUCAUUUGCCUUUUAAUUGAAGGCUAGUAUGAAAGGACACACAAGAAUAAUACUGUCUCAUUACGGUUUAAUUAAAACUGAUUUUUAGGUGAAGACGCCUAAAUCCCAAUAAAGGACAAGAAGACCCUAUAGAGCUUCAUUGAUGUUUAGAAUAAACUAAUUUAUCAAUUUGGUUGGGACAACCGAAAGACAAACACACCUCUUAUAUACCCCUAAUAAAACUCACACCCACUAAUGAAAUAGAAUUUCAAGCUACCUUAGGGAUAACAGGCUAAUCCUGCUAGAGAGCCCACAUUGACAGCAGGGAUUGG
Molecule: ribosomal RNA, 316 nt
Filed under: Nereididae environmental sample
Lineage: Eukaryota; Metazoa; Annelida; Polychaeta; Phyllodocida; Nereididae
Description: partial large subunit ribosomal RNA
Rfam family: Bacterial large subunit ribosomal RNA
Source: RNAcentral